CGCUCCUUGAUUCCUCGGCGACGGGUGAUAAGCUAGGAACUGCCUGGUAUGGGGGACACGUUUCGAAGGAACGCUAUACCGCUACGUCCUACGGGAGAAAGCAGGGGACCUUCGGGCCUUGCGCUAUCAAUGAGCCUAGGUCGGAUUACUAGUUGGUGAGGUAAUGGCUCACCAAGGCGACGAUCCGUAACUGGUCUGAGAGGAUGAUCAUCACACUGGAACUGAACCGGUCCAACUCCUACGGGAGGCACAUUGGGGAAUAUUGGACAAUGGGCGAAAGCCUGAUCCACCAUGCCCCGUGUGUGAAGAAGGUCUUCGGAUUGUAAAGCAUUUAAGUUGGGAGGAAGGGCAUAAAUUAAUACCUUGCUGUUUUGACUUUCCCACAAAAUAACACCGGCUAACUCUGUGCCAGCCCGCGGUAAUACAAGGGUGCAGCGUUAAUCGGAAUUACUGGGCGUAAGCGCGCUAGGUGGUCGUUAAUUGGAUGGA
RNAcentral lists this ribosomal RNA (489 nucleotides) under Pseudomonas sp. HPC1253. RNAcentral describes it as "bacterial SSU rRNA". It matches the Rfam family "Bacterial small subunit ribosomal RNA", at positions 81 to 595 of the family's 1533-position model. Lineage: Bacteria; Pseudomonadati; Pseudomonadota; Gammaproteobacteria; Pseudomonadales; Pseudomonadaceae. The record is from RNAcentral.